GAUGAACGCUGGCGGUAUGCUUAACACAUGCAAGUCGAACGGACUCUUCGGAGUUAGUGGCGGACGGGUGAGUAACGCGUGGGAAUCUGGCUUUGGGUUCGGGACAACCACUGGAAACGGUGGCUAAUACCGGAUGUGCCGAGAGGUGAAAGAGAAAUGGCCUGAAGAUGGGCUCGCGUCUGAUUAGCUAGUUGGUGAGGUAAAGGCUCACCAAGGCAGCGAUCAGUAGCUGGUCGGAGGGGAAGCCCAGCCACACGGGGACUGAGACACGGCCCAGACGCCUACGGGAGGCAGCAGUGGGGAAUUGUCCGCAAUGGGCGAAAGCCUGACGGAGCCAUACCGCGUGAGGGAAGAAGGCUCUGGGGUUGUAAACCUCUUGUCUUAGGGAAGAACAAAAUGACGGUACCUAAGGAAUCAGCAUCGGCUAACUCCGUG
This 435-nucleotide ribosomal RNA is filed under the name uncultured bacterium. RNAcentral's name for it is "partial 16S ribosomal RNA". It matches the Rfam family "Bacterial small subunit ribosomal RNA", at positions 28 to 507 of the family's 1533-position model. The record is from RNAcentral.